AACGCUGGCGGCGUGCCUAAUACAUGCAAGUCGAGCGAACGGACGAGAAGCUUGCUUCUCUGAUGUUAGCGGCGGACGGGUGAGUAACACGUGGAUAACCUACCUAUAAGACUGGGAUAACUUCGGGAAACCGGAGCUAAUACCGGAUAAUAUUUUGAACCGCAUGGUUCAAAAGUGAAAGACGGUCUUGCUGUCACUUAUAGAUGGAUCCGCGCUGCAUUAGCUAGUUGGUAAGGUAACGGCUUACCAAGGCAACGAUGCAUAGCCGACCUGAGAGGGUGAUCGGCCACACUGGAACUGAGACACGGUCCAGACUCCUACGGGAGGCAGCAGUAGGGAAUCUUCCGCAAUGGGCGAAAGCCUGACGGAGCAACGCCGCGUGAGUGAUGAAGGUCUUCGGAUCGUAAAACUCUGUUAUUAGGGAAGAACAUAUGUGUAAGUAACUGUGCACAUCUUGACGGUACCUAAUCAGAAAGCCACGGCUAACUACGUGCCAGCAGCCGCGGUAAUACGUAGGUGGCAAGCGUUAUCCGGAAUUAUUGGGCGUAAAGCGCGCGUAGGCGGUUUUUUAAGUCUGAUGUGAAAGCCCACGGCUCAACCGUGGAGGGUCAUUGGAAACUGGAAAACUUGAGUGCAGAAGAGGAAAGUGGAAUUCCAUGUGUAGCGGUGAAAUGCGCAGAGAUAUGGAGGAACACCAGUGGCGAAGGCGACUUUCUGGUCUGUAACUGACGCUGAUGUGCGAAAGCGUGGGGAUCAAACAGGAUUAGAUACCCUGGUAGUCCACGCCGUAAACGAUGAGUGCUAAGUGUUAGGGGGUUUCCGCCCCUUAGUGCUGCAGCUAACGCAUUAAGCACUCCGCCUGGGGAGUACGACCGCAAGGUUGAAACUCAAAGGAAUUGACGGGGACCCGCACAAGCGGUGGAGCAUGUGGUUUAAUUCGAAGCAACGCGAAGAACCUUACCAAAUCUUGACAUCCUUUGACAACUCUAGAGAUAGAGCCUUCCCCUUCGGGGGACAAAGUGACAGGUGGUGCAUGGUUGUCGUCAGCUCGUGUCGUGAGAUGUUGGGUUAAGUCCCGCAACGAGCGCAACCCUUAAGCUUAGUUGCCAUCAUUAAGUUGGGCACUCUAAGUUGACUGCCGGUGACAAACCGGAGGAAGGUGGGGAUGACGUCAAAUCAUCAUGCCCCUUAUGAUUUGGGCUACACACGUGCUACAAUGGACAAUACAAAGGGCAGCGAAACCGCGAGGUCAAGCAAAUCCCAUAAAGUUGUUCUCAGUUCGGAUUGUAGUCUGCAACUCGACUACAUGAAGCUGGAAUCGCUAGUAAUCGUAGAUCAGCAUGCUACGGUGAAUACGUUCCCGGGUCUUGUACACACCGCCCGUCACACCACGAGAGUUUGUAACACCCGAAGCCGGUGGAGUAACCUUUUAGGAGCUAGCCGUCGAAGGUGGGACAAAUGAUUGGGG
This 1468-nucleotide ribosomal RNA is filed under the name uncultured organism. RNAcentral's name for it is "16S ribosomal RNA". It matches the Rfam family "Bacterial small subunit ribosomal RNA". The record is from RNAcentral.